AAUCAUAAUUGCCAAUCAAAAUAGCAAUUACGCUUUAGCUUACGCUUAAGCGCGUCCUCUCGGUGAUUUCUACUAACCGAAUCAGGGCGUCAUUAGUAGGAUAAGGCGCUGUCGCUUUUUACAUGUUUCGGCGAUAGCGCUCGAAAAACACAAAAUAGGUAACAGGCUAUUUUGCCACGCUCUACUCUGUUACUAAAAAGCGCGGCUAAACUUGUAGUGCAAUUUUAAAUCAUUUUCCAGACUGGGGUUCAACUCCCCACACUUCCACAG
Molecule: transfer-messenger RNA, 270 nt
Filed under: bacterium
Lineage: Bacteria
Description: partial transfer-messenger RNA
Rfam family: transfer-messenger RNA
About the family: Bacterial tmRNA, also known as 10Sa RNA or SsrA, is named for its dual tRNA and mRNA-like properties. Its role is to liberate the mRNA from a stalled ribosome. To accomplish this part of the tmRNA is used as a reading frame that ends in a translation stop signal.
Source: RNAcentral